RNAcentral lists this long non-coding RNA (700 nucleotides) under Spirodela polyrhiza (greater duckweed). RNAcentral describes it as "long non-coding RNA (SPOL_LNC001225)". Lineage: Eukaryota; Viridiplantae; Streptophyta; Magnoliopsida; Alismatales; Araceae. The record is from RNAcentral.
ACGACGGCUGCUACAACGGCAAGGCCCCCAAGACCCACGCCCAGUGCAAGAACCGCGUCGACACCCUCAAGAAAAAGUACAAGCUCGAGAAGGCCCGCCUCUCCUCCGCCGGCGGCCCCGCCGCCGGUAAAUGGGUCUUCUUCGACCGCCUCCACCACCUCAUCGGCGCCGCCACCUCCGCGCCAAAGGCCCAGAUCCCCCCGCCGGUUCCCGUCGCCGCCGCAGCCGCCCGAUCCUUGCAGCACCAUUUCCAGAAAAAAAAGCAGCUCCCCACCCUCGUGGGCGCCGCCGCGGCCGCGGCCGCUGCUGCGGCGGCUGCGCCGCCGUCGCCGGAGUCGUCGGAGAGCUUCCUGCCGGAGACGCCCAAGAACAAGAAGAGGGGAUCCCCUCCUCCGCCGCCGCUGGUGACGAUCGCCAAGAGGGCGGUGGCGGCGGAAGAAGAUCUGAGGGAGGAAGAUCUGAAGGAGCUGACCGGAGCGAUACUCAACCUCGGGGAGGUCUACGAGCGGGUGGAGACCUCGAAGCUGAAGCAGGCGGUGGAGAUGGAGAAGCGGCGGAUGGAGUUCACCAAGGAGCUGGAGCUGCAGCGCAUGCAGUUCUUCGUCAAGACCCAGAUGGAGCUCACCCAACUCAAGCGCCGCCGCCGCUCCAUCCCCGACGCCAUGGACAACAACAGCCACAGUGACAACACCGCCUGAAC